GCCUUUAUAAACUAGCUCUCAUCAUCAUCUCAGCCUUACUGAUUUUGUCUCUGUCUUGAACGGUUGUGUCCAGGGUCUUCUGUCAGUCUCAACAUCGUAACUUUAAAGCACCAUGUCUAACACCGAACGUACCUUCAUUGCCAUCAAGCCUGGUGUCCAGAGGGGGCUUGUGGGAGAUAUCAUUAAGGGCUUUGAGCAGAGGGGCUUGUGGCCAUGAAGAUGAUCCAGGCGUCUGAGGACCUUGUCAAGCAGCACUACAUUGACCUGAAGGCCAUGCCCUUCUAUGGCGGCCUUUGCUCAUUCAUGCAUUCUGGUCCAGUUGUUGCCAUGGUAACUAUCCUCCCCAUGCAUGCACUACGCACAGCCCGUUUCAAAAUGCUGGCUCAUUGCUAGAUUCAUAGUGGCUCACUGCUAAUGCCACCCUGGACACUAUACUUCAGGUUCUCUUGAGCGGUGCUUGCGAUAUAAUUAAUCGUUACUCCUUAUAGUCCAAGGACCUUACAUGUUCUGUUUAAAUGCAAAUUGGCUCUGGAAGCCAAAACAGGCAAAUACUCCAUUUAAACGUGAAUCGAUUCUCAGUUGCGGUACGUUGCUAGAAACAUUGGGUGUAAAGGGGGAAAUGGACACCAUGAAUCCAUGCAAGUCACGUACCACAGCAAGGAAUUUUGACUCCCAAAGUGAACAAUGGUAAACGAAUAAACUGUGGAAAAUGCGA
Molecule: long non-coding RNA, 715 nt
Organism: Coregonus clupeaformis (lake whitefish)
Lineage: Eukaryota; Metazoa; Chordata; Actinopteri; Salmoniformes; Salmonidae
Exons: 3
Source: RefSeq, a predicted model, not a curated record